Molecule: ribosomal RNA, 404 nt
Filed under: uncultured bacterium
Lineage: Bacteria
Description: bacterial SSU rRNA
Rfam family: Bacterial small subunit ribosomal RNA
Source: RNAcentral
AGCGAACGUUAGCGGCGCGCCUAACACAUGCAAGUCGCACGAGAAACGGAGCAAUCCGCGGUACAGUGGCGCACGGGUGAGUAACACGUGGAUGACCUUCCCUGGAGUGGUAGAUAACCUGCCGAAAGGCGGGCUAAUACAGCAUGGGACCACGACGCUUUGGCGAUGUGGUGAAAGCGGGCCUCUAUAUAUAAGCUCGCGCUCCGGGACGGGUCCGCGUCCCAUCAGCUAGUUGGUGAGGUAACGGCUCACCAAGGCAACGACGGGUAGCUGGUCUGAGAGGAUGGCCAGCCACACUGGAACUGAGACACGGUCCAGACUCCUACGGGAGGCAGCAGUGGGGAAUCUUGCGCAAUGGGCGAAAGCCUGACGCAGCGACGCCGCGUGGGCGAAGAAGGCCUCGG